RNAcentral lists this unclassified non-coding RNA (484 nucleotides) under Bombus terrestris (buff-tailed bumblebee). RNAcentral describes it as "misc RNA ENSBTSG00005038160.1". The record is from RNAcentral. Lineage: Eukaryota; Metazoa; Arthropoda; Insecta; Hymenoptera; Apidae.
GCGCGAAGGAAGUAAGCGAAACGAGAGGACGAACAGGAGCAUACGGGCUCGAAGGUUUUCGCUUCGCCGCCUCGUUGAAUCAGCGACCGAGUCUCGAUAUUUAUUCGUCGAUAGCAUGUUCGAUCGUAGAAUUUCGAGAAAAGAGGUGGUGCUCGGGCUUACGGACGUGCGAACUGACAGGAGUCCAUCCCAGAUAUCCAGCAAGAAGGUUCUCGUUUUGCGGCCGGUGCCCACCUUUUUUCCUCUCUUUGCGCCAUCACCGGGGCUAUACUUACGCCGGCCGUACUCAUUAUUUCCCAUCCGUUCCUCUCUGUGAGACCUUCUUUCAUAUUUAACCCGUCCGUCGCUUCGAAGCUUUCGGCAUGUUUAAUUUAAUCGGUAUCGACGCCCUCGACCGACUGAACCGUGCGAGAGGGCUGAGAAGAAAAGGGAGAGGGUCCAGUUCCUGAAUAUAACCACCAAGUAUUCGGCUUGCAAAACGCCU